CCUGGUGGGCUACAGUCCAUAGUGUUGCACAGAGUUGGACACAACUGAAGCGACUUAGCAUACACGCAGAUGCUUCUUUGAUUAUUCAAAUACAAAUUGCUAGUUAGAUUAUGAAUACUAAAUACUGAUUUAUUGAGUAUCUAUAACACGGUGGUGGUGGUGGUUUAGUUGCCAAGUCCGACUCUUGCGGCCCCAUGGACCGCAGCCUGCCAGGUUCCUCUGCUAAUGGGAUUCUUCAGGCAAGGACACUGGAGUGGGUUGCCAUUUCCUUCUCCANNNNNNNNNNNNNNNNNNNNNNNNNNNNNNNNNNCUCCUGCAUUGCAGGAAGAUUCUUUGCCAACUGAGCUAUGAGGGAAGCCCGUCUACAACAUAUGAGGUACUUUUCCUAAGUUAUCACAGUGAGGUUUCCGAGGAGGAUCUCGUAACCUCUAGAGGAAUAUGAAAGGGGAGCACAAAACCCCUUGCUCUUGUGGGUAGAACCUCAGUGGACUGAACCCCACCCUCUAGACCCGAAGCCAGGAGCAGGGGGGCUGGUUCCUUGGGGUGUGAUGGCUCUGGGUCCUAGCCUCUCACCUAGGACGUGAGCUGCCCCUAUGGAUGGCACGUUUGGAGAUCUUGAGAAGCCUCUCCUGUUUGGGAUGGGGUAAGUGGAGUGUUUGCAGAAGGCUGGGCCGUGAGGAGGCCAGCCUUUAAAGUCCUUCUUGUCUUAGGAUCCGUUGAAAUCCUGCUAUUCAGGACGACAGAAGUUUCAUUAUCUGUGACUGUUUUGAUGAGAAGAGGGCUUCUGAUUCUACCUGCUCAGAAACUGAGUCUUUGAAACGGAUUUCCUGGGAACUUUCUGAUGCUUGAAUGUGAAAGGGUUAAUCGCUCAGUCAUGUCCUACUCUUGGUGACUCAAGGACCCCUGGACUGUAGCUCACCAGGGUCCUCUGUCCACAGGAUUCUUCAGGCAAGAAUCCUGGAGUGGUUUGCCAUUCCCUUCUCCAAGGGAUCUUCNNNNNNAGGGAUUGAAGCUGGGUCUCCUGCAUUGCAGGCAGAUUCUUUACUGUCUGGGACACUUAGGGGCCCUUUCUUCUUGGGUCGUCCGCAUGGACAGGCCAGUCUUUCGGGCUUGAUGAGGAGGUGGUGGGGUGCACCCCAAGUCAGGGCCACCGUGAGCUGGGUGGGUCUGCCCUUUGGGAGCCUCCAUACAUAUGCACUGAUUCCUUCCACCUUGAGUCGUGAGGAAGAAGGUUCCCAUUGAUUUUCAGAUUACAUCAUUUUAGAGACUUUCCGAGAUAACCUUCCUACCUUUGUUUUCUUGACUUUUCCUUUGCCUGCCCUCGUGACACCAGAAAAGGGGAAAAAAGAAUCGAUUUGGAGAGCAGCGGGGGAAGCUUGGUAGCAGAUGGGUUUUUUCUGGGGCUGUUGUACAUGAGAUCAGGUUCCUUGGAACAGGGAGGUUGACUCUUCGCCUGAACUGGGAAGUAGGUU
RNAcentral lists this long non-coding RNA (1472 nucleotides) under Capra hircus (goat). Its description in RNAcentral is "lncRNA (ENSCHIG00010002986.1)". The record is from RNAcentral. Lineage: Eukaryota; Metazoa; Chordata; Mammalia; Artiodactyla; Bovidae.